ACUGGCAUUUUACUUCUGUAGAGGAUAUACACGAGACAAAAUUCCUCUGAUAAACUGGCAUUUUACUUCUAGGAUAUACACAUGACAUUUCUCAGAUUAACUGGUAUUUUACUUUUGUAGAGGAUAUACACGAGACAACAUUCCUCAGAUGUAUUGGUAUUUUACUUCUGUAGAGAAUAUACGGCCUAAAAAUGCGUCUACAGUUUGUCGGUCAUCGUUUGUUAGUACAAACACUACAUUUAUUUCUAAUUUCAACCUUGA
Molecule: long non-coding RNA, 261 nt
Filed under: Mytilus galloprovincialis (Mediterranean mussel)
Lineage: Eukaryota; Metazoa; Mollusca; Bivalvia; Mytilida; Mytilidae
Source: RNAcentral